GCCAUCGUAGCUCAGUUGGUAGAGCGAGUCAUUCGUAAUGAUUAGGUCACCGGUUCGAUUCCGGUCGAUGGCUCCA
Molecule: transfer RNA, 76 nt
Filed under: Opitutia bacterium
Lineage: Bacteria; Pseudomonadati; Verrucomicrobiota; Opitutia
Description: Opitutae bacterium (marine metagenome) tRNA-Thr
Rfam family: tRNA
About the family: Transfer RNA (tRNA) molecules are approximately 80 nucleotides in length.
Source: RNAcentral